UACGGGGGUGCAAGCGUUGUUCGGAAUCAUUGGGCGUAAAGAGCGUGUAGGCGGCUGAGCAAGUCAGAUGUGAAAUCCCUGGGCUUAACCCAGGAAGUGCAUUUGAAACUGUUCAGCUUGAGUAAGGAAGAGGGAAGUGGAAUUCCAUGUGUAGCGGCGAAAUGCGUAGAGAUAUGGAGGAACACCAGUGGCGAAGGCGGCUUCCUGGUCUGUAACUGACACUGAGGCGCGAAAGCGUGGGGAGCAAACAGGAUUAGA
RNAcentral lists this ribosomal RNA (258 nucleotides) under uncultured prokaryote. RNAcentral's name for it is "partial 16S ribosomal RNA". It matches the Rfam family "Bacterial small subunit ribosomal RNA", at positions 524 to 782 of the family's 1533-position model. The record is from RNAcentral.